RNAcentral lists this unclassified non-coding RNA (337 nucleotides) under soil metagenome. Its description in RNAcentral is "partial contains 5.8S ribosomal RNA, internal transcribed spacer 2, and large subunit ribosomal RNA". The stretch from base 1 to 120 matches the Rfam family "5.8S ribosomal RNA", at positions 35 to 154 of the family's 154-position model. The record is from RNAcentral.
GAUGAAGAACGCAACGAAAUGCGAUAAGUAAUGUGAAUUGCAGAAUUCCGUGAAUCAUCGAAUCUUUGAACGCACAUUGCGCCCCCUGGCAUUCCGGGGGGCAUGCCUGUCCGAGCGUCAUUUCUGCCCUCAAGCACGGCUUGUGUGUUGGGUGUGGUCCCCCCGGGGACCUGCCCGAAAGGCAGCGGCGACGUCCGUCUGGUCCUCGAGCGUAUGGGGCUCUGUCACUCGCUCGGGAAGGACCUGCGGGGGUUGGUCACCACCAUGUUUUACCACGGUUGACCUCGGAUCAGGUAGGAGUUACCCGCUGAACUUAAGCAUAUCAAUAAGCGGAGGA